Molecule: ribosomal RNA, 1128 nt
Filed under: Acinetobacter calcoaceticus
Lineage: Bacteria; Pseudomonadati; Pseudomonadota; Gammaproteobacteria; Moraxellales; Moraxellaceae
Description: bacterial SSU rRNA
Rfam family: Bacterial small subunit ribosomal RNA
Source: RNAcentral
UGCAGUCGAGCGGAGUGAUGGUGCUUGCACUAUCACUUAGCGGCGGACGGGUGAGUAAUGCUUAGGAAUCUGCCUAUUAGUGGGGGACAACAUUUCGAAAGGAAUGCUAAUACCGCAUACGUCCUACGGGAGAAAGCAGGGGAUCUUCGGACCUUGCGCUAAUAGAUGAGCCUAAGUCGGAUUAGCUAGUUGGUGGGGUAAAGGCCUACCAAGGCGACGAUCUGUAGCGGGUCUGAGAGGAUGAUCCGCCACACUGGGACUGAGACACGGCCCAGACUCCUACGGGAGGCAGCAGUGGGGAAUAUUGGACAAUGGGCGCAAGCCUGAUCCAGCCAUGCCGCGUGUGUGAAGAAGGCCUUAUGGUUGUAAAGCACUUUAAGCGAGGAGGAGGCUACUGAAGUUAAUACCUUCAGAUAGUGGACGUUACUCGCAGAAUAAGCACCGGCUAACUCUGUGCCAGCAGCCGCGGUAAUACAGAGGGUGCAAGCGUUAAUCGGAUUUACUGGGCGUAAAGCGCGCGUAGGCGGCUAAUUAAGUCAAAUGUGAAAUCCCCGAGCUUAACUUGGGAAUUGCAUUCGAUACUGGUUAGCUAGAGUGUGGGAGAGGAUGGUAGAAUUCCAGGUGUAGCGGUGAAAUGCGUAGAGAUCUGGAGGAAUACCGAUGGCGAAGGCAGCCAUCUGGCCUAACACUGACGCUGAGGUGCGAAAGCAUGGGGAGCAAACAGGAUUAGAUACCCUGGUAGUCCAUGCCGUAAACGAUGUCUACUAGCCGUUGGGGCCUUUGAGGCUUUAGUGGCGCAGCUAACGCGAUAAGUAGACCGCCUGGGGAGUACGGUCGCAAGACUAAAACUCAAAUGAAUUGACGGGGGCCCGCACAAGCGGUGGAGCAUGUGGUUUAAUUCGAUGCAACGCGAAGAACCUUACCUGGCCUUGACAUAGUAAGAACUUUCCAGAGAUGGAUUGGUGCCUUCGGGAACUUACAUACAGGUGCUGCAUGGCUGUCGUCAGCUCGUGUCGUGAGAUGUUGGGUUAAGUCCCGCAACGAGCGCAACCCUUUUCCUUAUUUGCCAGCGAGUAAUGUCGGGAACUUUAAGGAUACUGCCAGUGACAAACUGGAGGAAGGCGGGGA